GAUGAACGCUGGCGGCGUGCUUAACACAUGCAAGUCGAACGGAAAGGCCCUGCGUGCAGGGUACUCGAGUGGCGAACGGGCGGGUAACACGGGGGUGAACUGCCCUGCACUUCGGGAUAGGCCAUGGCAAAGGGGUCUAAUACCGAAUAGGGGACAUUUUUAGCGUGAUGGUUGGAAAGUUUUUUCGGUGUAGGAUGAGCUCGCGGGCUAUCGGCUUGUUGGUGGGGUAAUGGCCUACCAAGGCGGCGACGGGUAGCCGGCCUGAGAGGGUGGACGGCCACAUUGGGACUGAGAUACGGCCCAGACUCCUACGGGAGGCAGAAGUGGGGAAUAUUGCACCAUGGGCGCAAGGCUGAUGCAGCGACGCCGCGUGGGGGAUGACGGUCUUCGUGUUGUAAACUACUUUCGCUAGGGACGAAGCUUUUUGUGACGGUACCUAGAUAAGAAGCACCGGCUAACUACGUG
This 465-nucleotide ribosomal RNA is filed under the name uncultured bacterium. RNAcentral describes it as "partial 16S ribosomal RNA". It matches the Rfam family "Bacterial small subunit ribosomal RNA", at positions 28 to 507 of the family's 1533-position model. The record is from RNAcentral.